AGUGAGUGCAGACAGAGAGGACAAGUUUGGAUGACAAAAUCAUGGAAUAAAUGUUUGGAGAUCACAGUCGUGAGACCAUCUCAUGUGUGGAGAAUAGAGCCUUCAUGGCGUCAGUCUCUCCUGGCCUGCACCACACUUGUGUGCAAUGUUCUAGAAUUCUGUGGCCUUGGAGGAUGUGGCUGUGAACUUCACCCAGGAGGAGUGGGCUUUGCUGGAUCCUUCCCAGAAGAAUCUCCACAGAGACGUGAUGCAGGAAGUCCUAGAAACCUGGCCUCUAUAGGAGACAAAUGGGAGGAUCAGAACACGAAUCCCCAGAAAGAUCAAAGGCAUAUCAUAUGUCACUCUGCACACAAGCCACAUGAGAUCCAGGAGUGUGGAGGGAAGCCAUGUGAACUUGAACAGAGCAGAACAUCUUCAAUAUCUCAUGCGAGUGUUCAAAGACAAGCGUCAGUGCACAGUGUAAAUGGACCUUAUGAAUGUGUGACAUGUGGAAAAGGGUUCAGUUGUUCCUCGUGUUUUCAAAAAUAUCCCCGAUCUCAUACUGGAGAGACAGCUCUCAGAGGUAAACAACAUGGCAAAGCCGUUGAUGUAUCCUGUCAUAGUAGAGAGAGGCCCUGUGAAUGUGAACAAUGUGGGAAAUCCUUCACUAGUUCCUCUUACCCUCAGGUACAUAAACGAACUCAUACUGGAGAGAAGCCUUAUAGGUGUAAACAGUGUGGGAAAGGCUUCACUCGUGACUCUUGCUUUUGUAGACAUGAACGAUUCCAAUUAGAGAAAAGCCUUAUAGAUGUAAACAGUGUUGUAAAGCGUUUGCUACAUCCAGUCAUCUUCAUAGACAUGAGCAAACUCAUACAGGAGAGAAGACCUAUGAAUGUAAACAGUGUGGGAAAUCCUUC
Long non-coding RNA from Sciurus carolinensis (gray squirrel), 896 nucleotides. RefSeq lists it as uncharacterized. The transcript is spliced from 3 exons. NCBI's taxonomy places the organism in Eukaryota, Metazoa, Chordata, Mammalia, Rodentia, Sciuridae. The record is from RefSeq and is a predicted model, not a curated record.